This is a long non-coding RNA of Corvus hawaiiensis (hawaiian crow), 610 nucleotides long. RefSeq lists it as uncharacterized. Lineage: Eukaryota; Metazoa; Chordata; Aves; Passeriformes; Corvidae. The transcript has 2 exons. The record is from RefSeq and is a predicted model, not a curated record.
GGUACAAAUUAGGGGAAAUUAUUAAUAAAUAAUCGGGGAAAUAUUAAUAAAUAAUAGGGAAAAGAUGAAUAAAUAAGGCAGGAAAUGGGGAUAAAUAAGGAAUAUUAGGGAUCAAUAAUUGGGGAAAAUAUUAAUAAUUAAGGUGGGAAAAUGGCAAUAAAUGGGAUGGAAAAAUAAUGGUAAAUGAGGAAAUUCGGGAUCAAUAAUGGGGAAAAUAUUAAGAAAUGAGGUGGGAAAAUGGGAGUGAAUAAUAGGGAAAAAUAAUGAUGAAUUAGGAAUAUUAGGGAUAAAUAAUAGAGGAAAUAUUAAUGGAUGAGGUGGGAAAAUGGAGUGAAUAAUAAGGAAAAAAUGAGGAUAAAUCAGGAAUAUUCGGGAUAAAUAAUAGGGGAAAAUAUUAAGAAAUGAGGUGGGAAAAUGGGAGUGAAUAAUAGGGAAAAAUAAUGAUAAAUGAGGAAUAUUCGGGAUAAAUAAUAGAGGAAAUAUUAAUGGAUGAGGUGGGAAAAUGGGAGUGAAUGAAGUGGGAAAAUGAGAAUAAAUCAGGAAAUAUUUGGGAUAAAUAAUAGGGGAAAAUAUUAAGAAAUAAGGUGGAAAAAUGGCAAUAAAUGGGAUG